CACGUCGUGCGAUUUCAUUCACGCUGGCGAACAUACUUUAUAUCUUGUAAUGAUAAUGGUAUUUCUAAUUGCAUUCCACGAUCCUUUAAAUUCUUUAGUGACACACGUAUUGACGUAUCCAUAUUGCUAUAUCUCUUUCACAUACAAUAUAUAAAUAAAUGCUGAUAUUGUAUUGACUGCCAAAAUAAAUGUGCAAUUAUAAAAAGUUUGUUGCAAUCUCAUCCAGGUUACAUUACAGUUGUUAGUUGAAUAUGUUAAAUAAAUCAUUGUAACUGCUUAGACACGCAAUAAACAACUAAGUUGUUUUUAAAUCAGACUAACGUUCACGCCAUAAACCGGAUACAUUUCCUGUGAACUACUCAAGACGAGACAAGUGAGAAAAAACUAUGGUUUUAUUUUCGACGUAUCGUAGGAUUUCAAACAUCCAGUGGUCUAGAGGAGUUUCGAUUGUUGGUGUAAAGGUGCAGUGGCCGUGGCGGACGGAGAGAAUACAGGUUCGGCGGCGGGCGGCGUCGGCCUCGCCGUGAAUAGCAAGGUGUACCCGAGGCCGGGGGCGGCGCGGGGCGUGUGGGCGCUCCCGCAGCCGCCCCCUUGCAACAUGGCGGCGGAGGAGGCGCU
Molecule: long non-coding RNA, 618 nt
Organism: Papilio polytes (common Mormon)
Lineage: Eukaryota; Metazoa; Arthropoda; Insecta; Lepidoptera; Papilionidae
Exons: 3
Source: RefSeq, a predicted model, not a curated record